Molecule: long non-coding RNA, 481 nt
Organism: Labrus mixtus (cuckoo wrasse)
Lineage: Eukaryota; Metazoa; Chordata; Actinopteri; Labriformes; Labridae
Exons: 4
Source: RefSeq, a predicted model, not a curated record
CACGCCUGUCAAACAAGAGAGCGGUAAAUUCAAGCCGUGUCAAGGAGGAAGACAGAUGAUCGCCUGCUUAGCUCCGCACCCUGCGGCUAGACAGAAAAGUCAAGGUAAUUAAGGCCCUCAGCAACGCUCUCCUCAACGCCACUGCACCCCGCAGAUCACUCAGCAGGAAACCGUAACAGCCGGUUCAGUCAAAGACCGCUGGCUACUGCUCUUUGACGUGCCCUGACCAGACCUGACAGACUCAGUGUGCAGUCUGGAAACGAACAUGGUGAGGUUCAUCUCUAAAGAGUCGCCUGAGAUCAUGGUGGAUUAUGUCAGGAGGUCUGAGGAGUGACUGCUGCAGCGCCUGGGGGAAAACUCUUAACACCGGUUGCUGUGAGCUUUGGCGUCCUGUAUUUCCUACAAGUGGUUCUCAACAUUUCCCUGCACCUUGCUAUCUACACUUCUGACAGGAAGACCACGAUCAAUCUGACUGACUUUG